CCCCUAGAUGUUCUGGGCCGCACGCGCGCUACACUGAACAGUUCAACAAGUCUUAACCUUGGCCGAUAGGUCUGGGUAAUCUUUGAACGCUGUUCGUGAUUGGGAUAGACCUUUGCAAUUAUGGGUCUUCAACGAGGAAUUCCUAGUAAACGCAAGUCAUCAGCUUGCAUUGAUUACGUCCCUGCCCUUUGUACACACCGCCCGUCGCACCUACCGAUUGAAUGGUCCGGUGAAAUCUCGGGACGGCGGCUUGGUCGCUUGCGUCCGACUGCUGAAACUUGAUUAAACCAUAUCAUUUAGAGAAAGGUGAAGUCGUAACA
RNAcentral lists this ribosomal RNA (320 nucleotides) under uncultured eukaryote. RNAcentral describes it as "partial 18S ribosomal RNA". It matches the Rfam family "Eukaryotic small subunit ribosomal RNA", at positions 1470 to 1796 of the family's 1831-position model. The record is from RNAcentral.